RNAcentral lists this ribosomal RNA (346 nucleotides) under uncultured bacterium. RNAcentral's name for it is "partial 16S ribosomal RNA". It matches the Rfam family "Bacterial small subunit ribosomal RNA", at positions 338 to 681 of the family's 1533-position model. The record is from RNAcentral.
CCUACGGGGGACAGCAGUGAGGAAUAUUGGUCAAUGGGCGCAAGCCUGAACCAGCCAAGUCGCGGGAGGGAAGACGGUCCGAUGGAUUGUAAACCUCUUUUGUCGGGGAGCAAAGCGCGGUACGAGUGCCGUGAAGGAGAGGACCCGAAGAAAAAGCAGCGGCUAACUCCGUGCCAGCAGCCGCGGUAAUACGGAGGAUGCGAGCGUGAUCGGGAUUGAUUGGGUUUAAAGGGUGCGUAGGCGGAUUUGUAAGUCAGCGGUAAAAAUGCGGUGCUCAACGCCGUAUCGCCGUUGAAACUGCAGGUCUUUAGUGAGCGCGAAGUAUGCGGCAUGCGUGUUGUAGCGG